RNAcentral lists this ribosomal RNA (253 nucleotides) under uncultured bacterium. RNAcentral's name for it is "partial 16S ribosomal RNA". It matches the Rfam family "Bacterial small subunit ribosomal RNA", at positions 524 to 776 of the family's 1533-position model. The record is from RNAcentral.
UACGGGGGGGGCAAGCGUUGUUCGGAAUUACUGGGCGUAAAGGGCUCGUAGGCGGCCAACUAAGUCAGACGUGAAAUCCCUGGGCUCAACCCAGGAACUGCGUCCGAUACUGGUUGGCUUGAAUCCGGGAGAGGGAUGUGGAAUUCCAGGUGUAGCGGUGAAAUACGUAGAUAUCUGGAGGAACACCGGUGGCGAAGGCGACAUCCUGGACCGGUAUUGACGCUGAGGCGCGAAAGCCAGGGGAGCAAACGGG